This 431-nucleotide ribosomal RNA is filed under the name uncultured bacterium. RNAcentral's name for it is "partial 16S ribosomal RNA". It matches the Rfam family "Bacterial small subunit ribosomal RNA", at positions 29 to 507 of the family's 1533-position model. The record is from RNAcentral.
AACGAACGCUGGCGGCAGGCCUAACACAUGCAAGUCGAGCGCGCCUUCGGGUGAGCGGCGGACGGGUGAGUAACGCGUGGGAAUAUGCCCUUCUCUACGGAAUAGUCCUGGGAAACUGGGGGUAAUACCGUAUACGCCCUUUGGGGGAAAGAUUUAUCGGGGAAGGAUUAGCCCGCGUUGGAUUAGGUAGUUGGUGGGGUCAUGGCCUACCAAGCCGACGAUCCAUAGCUGGUUUGAGAGGAUGAUCAGCCACACUGGGACUGAGACACGGCCCAGACUCCUACGGGAGGCAGCAGUGGGGAAUCUUAGACAAUGGGGGCAACCCUGAUCUAGCCAUGCCGCGUGAGUGAUGAAGGCCUUAGGGUUGUAAAGCUCUUUCAGCUGGGAAGAUAAUGACGGUACCAGCAGAAGAAGCCCCGGCUAACUCCGUG